Molecule: long non-coding RNA, 3587 nt
Filed under: Homo sapiens (human)
Lineage: Eukaryota; Metazoa; Chordata; Mammalia; Primates; Hominidae
Description: HSALNT0388269
Source: RNAcentral
AUGCCAUUGCACUCCAGCCUGGUGACAGAGCAAGACUCCAUCUCAAAAAAAAAAAAAAAUUAGACAUUAUAGAAUUCAGAGCAGAAAGCAAGGCUACGUGUUUUUUUUUUUUUUUUUUUUUGAGAUGGAAUCUCGCUCUGUCGCCCAGGCUGGAGUAUAGUGGCGUGAUCUCAGCUCACUGCAACCUCCGCCUCUCGGGUUUGAAGCAAUUCUCCUGCCUCAGCCUCCCGAGUAACUGGGACUACAGGCACGUGCCACCAUGCCAAGCUAAUUUUUGUAUUUUUAGUAGAGACGGGGUUUCACCGUGUUGGCCAGGAUGGUCUCGAUCUCUUAACCUCGUGAUCUGCCCGCCUCGGCCUCCCAUAGUGCUGGGAUCACAGGCAUGAGCCACCACGCCCAGCCUUUUGAAGGCUAGAGGGAAUAAUUCACAAUAAAAAUAUAACAAUAAUCCAUAUCAAUAUAAAAUAACAAUAGCAAUUUUUAUGGUAGAGAAAAUAAAAGAGAUUUACAAACAAACACUGACUUUGAUUAUGCCAACUGUUUCCUGCCAGGGAUUCUGAUUGCUAUGUGUGUGUCCCAUAAAAAUAUCACACAUGUCAUCUUUUAUGUUCUCUCUUAUUUUGCUACCUAAAUGUUCUUAAGUAUGGUGACCACAUGUUAAAUAUGCAGAGCCACAAGAUGAAGGGAGCCUGAGUCCCUAACUUAGUGAAGGAGGACUACGCACCAAUUAGGAACCAUUGUUUUAAAUUUAUCAGGAGUGAAACAAAAGAACAACUAUUGUCUUUGAACCAUUAUUUAUUUGGGCUGAUUUGUUACAGCAGCUGUUACCUUAACAAUGUACCUUCUAAUCAAUUAAUGAGAAACCCAGUCAUUCUCCUAUGGGCCCUUCCCAAAAGCCUAGAGACAGAGUUUCCAGCCUAUUUGUUUAAAUAUUAAGGGUAGCUUGUGAGUGAAAAUCAGGAUGACUUUGGGAACCAGGGACUCCCUGGAAUGGGUACCUGCAUGGCAGAGAACCAUUAAGGAAAGUGGACAACCAGGAGACUAUGAUGUCAUAGAAAGUAAGAGAUAAAAGUAUUUAAGCAAAGUGAAAGUGGCUGUGUCAAAUGCCACCAAGAAUCCACAUAGACUGCUGUUGACUGUGAUAACUAUGAUCUAUAUCUGACCAGCAGACUUCCUACCCGUUCUGGUAAAGUAUCCAAAUAAUAAGGUGGUAUGGGGAAAAUAGGCAUCCCAGUGACCCAGAGUUAGUCAAGGAUAGCCUCUUUGGCCACAUAUAAGAGACACAGAUGUAGAUCUCCUGGAGAUGUGAUGAGAGGCCUUGGAGAUUUCUGUAAGAUUUGUAUAAUACAGGACCCUUUUGCUAGGUUUGGAAAUUUCUCUAGUAUUCAAAUAUCUUAAAACUUCAUGCAGUAUGGAAUCAGGCAAUUCUCUGGAGCAGUAACCAAAGCCAGAGAUACAAGCAACGAAUUGAGCCAUACGGGCAUCAGACUUACCCAGAAUGGGAUCAAUUCCUCCAGAUACCAUAAAAGUUGAUGUGAUAUUAAACUGACAAAUAGAAUCAUCAAAUAUAAUCCUUUCCGUAUAUUUACUGACAUUUGGAUGUCCCCAUGAGAAAUGUAUGUUUAAGUCUUGAGUAUAUUUUUUUCUUUUUUGAGAUGGAGUCUCGCUCUGUCACCAGGCCGGAGUGCAGUGGCGCGAUCUCGGCUCACUGCAACCUCUGCUUCCUGGGUUCAAGCGAUUUUCCUGCCUCAGCCUCCCGAGCAGCUGGGAUUAUAGGCACACAUCACCAUGCCCAGCUAAUUAUUAUUAUUUUUUUUUUGGUAGGGACGGGGUUUUACCAUGUUGGCCAGGAUGAUCUCGAUCUCCUGACCUCAUGAUCUGCCUGCCUCGGCCUCCCAAAGUGCUGGGAUUACAGGCAUGAGCCACUGUGCCAGGCCUUUUGUCCAUUUUUUAUUGAACUGCCUAUUUCUUCUUACUGAUUUGUAGAAAGUCUUUAUUCUAGUCUGGCAGGUAUUUUCUUUCAACACUUCCAAGAUUAUUCAUUGUCUCUGGCAGCUAAUGUUUCAUUUGAGAAAAUGCUACCUGUAUUAUUGAUGCCCAUGUGAAAGUAAUGAGAUUUUUCUCCACAUUGAAGAUUUCUCUUUAAUCUGUGGCUGAUGUUGUCUUUGAAGGAUUCUCGACCAUCCCUGUAUCUCUCUCUCUGUCUCUUUCUCACCCACUUUGGGUUGGGACCUCAAAGAGCUGCACCCUAGCAGUAAAGGUGGGGUGGAAAUUCAGGCCUUAAAGGGGUUAAAACCCAGCAUCAAAUAAUCUUAGUUCCUGAUUGAAUUAAGGUGAUCUGUGACUGCUAGAUCCUCAGUCUAGCUCUCUGCACAUCAAAUAUUUUCUAAAGGAAGGUAAGUCUAGUUAGAAAGUUAGACCAACAGACUUAAGCUAGGCUUUACAGAACUGAUAGGUUCGAAGUACUUCUAAUCCACCGUUGCCUGAAUGCCAUGGCAUUUUAUCUUUUAGUUAUAAUAGUUAACUCUUCUCUUCUACAAUGAUAUGUGAUUUAUUGUGUAAUGUUGCUUUUGGCUAAUUAAAAAAAAAAAAAACUCUGCCUCUGCCCUGGAGAAGAGAACAUACUAACACCAUUCAUUAGCUUAGCAGAAAUUUAGAGACAACCCUGUGAUUUUGAAUAAAGAUCCCUCUAUGGGCCAGAAACGAAUACAAAGGACCUGCUGUUAAGCCGCUGUGAAAUGGAAUGAGAGAAAAAUGAAGAGAUGAACUUGAAACUGGGGUUCUCAGCCUAAUAGAAUCGGCGCAGCUCCAGAACUCAGGAUGCUUUCAAUAUCAUUUUUACAGACAGCUGCUAUAUUGCCAAACUCCAGAGGACACCUUCCACAUGGAAUACAACAUAAAUGGUACCCUGUGGAGUUUUGUAAUAGCAUGACCCUACAUGAGUGCAGGCGGACUAGGGAGCGAAGGACCAAUCAAAGCCAGAACACUGAGCUUUAAUGAUUCCCGAAGGCAAUUUGAGCCUGUUGUAGAAAUAAGGGGAGGUGAUUUCAUAAGACAUCUAGAGGUGAGCAGUCCACGUAGGAUUACCACAAACAUAGAUUCAGAGAUCACAGUAAGCCUCUCAUAGGCACAGGUGCCUGAACAGAUUAUCUGAGUAAAAGAGUCGUUAUAUCAGACCCUCCUGAGAGAUGAGGUGGGAGAAUUUGAAAGCUGGACUGAGGAUAUGACUGUGCUGUGCAGAGAUGGGGACACUUGCUGAGGAAACACACGAGGAUGGGGAGUAGAUUGGGGAGGAAAAUGGGAGUGAGGUGACACAUCUAGAAAAUGGGAGAGCCGCUGGGUGUGGUGGCUCACACCUGUAUGUAAUCCCAGCACUGUGGGAGGCCGAGGCGGGUGGGUCACCUGAGUCGGCCUCCCAAAGUGCUGGGAUUACAGGCAUGAGCCACCGUUCCUGGCCUCAUGUUCUUUUUUAUAUCCCUAAUUCUUGUUAGGGCCAAGGACACCUUGGCCCUCUGCCUCUUCUUUUUCCCUUGUUCAUAAAUUCAGCUCCUAAGUCAUCCAAACUGUAGAACUCACCUCCAUUUUUU